This is a non-coding RNA of Cucurbita maxima (winter squash), 72 nucleotides long. Lineage: Eukaryota; Viridiplantae; Streptophyta; Magnoliopsida; Cucurbitales; Cucurbitaceae. The record is from the annotation of a RefSeq genome assembly.
GCCCGUCUAGCUCAGUUGGUAUAGCACAAGGCUCUUAACCUUGUGGCAUGGGUUUGAAUUCCAUGGUGGGCG